UACGUAGGGUGCAAGCGUUAAUCGGAUUUACUGGGCGUAAAGGGCGCGCAGGCGGUUCUGUUUGUCGAGUGUGAAAGCCCCGGGCUCAACCUGGGAACUGCGCUCGAAACGGCGGAACUAGAGUUCGGGAGAGGAGAGUGGAAUUCCCAGUGUAGAGGUGAAAUUCGUAGAUAUUGGGAAGAACACCGGUGGCGAAAGCGACUCUCUGGACGGCAACUGACGCUGAGGCACGAAAGCGUGGGGAGCAAACAGG
RNAcentral lists this ribosomal RNA (253 nucleotides) under uncultured bacterium. RNAcentral describes it as "partial 16S ribosomal RNA". It matches the Rfam family "Bacterial small subunit ribosomal RNA", at positions 524 to 776 of the family's 1533-position model. The record is from RNAcentral.